UGGAUGAGCCCGCGGCCUAUCAGCUUGUUGGUGGGGUGAUGGCUCACCAAGGCGACGACGGGUAGCCGGCCUGAGAGGGCGACCGGCCACACUGGGACUGAGACACGGCCCAGACUCCUACGGGAGGCAGCAGUGGGGAAUAUUGCACAAUGGGCGAAAGCCUGAUGCAGCGACGCCGCGUGAGGGAUGACUGCCUUCGGAGGUACUUUGCUCCACCACGAAACGGAAACCAGGUAAUUUUCAUUAUCCCCUAA
RNAcentral lists this ribosomal RNA (254 nucleotides) under uncultured actinomycete. RNAcentral describes it as "partial 16S rRNA". It matches the Rfam family "Bacterial small subunit ribosomal RNA", at positions 222 to 472 of the family's 1533-position model. The record is from RNAcentral. Lineage: Bacteria; Bacillati; Actinomycetota; Actinomycetes; Actinomycetales.